AUGAACGCUGGCGGCGUGCCUAAUACAUGCAAGUCGCGCGAACAGACGAGGAGCUUGCUCCUAUGACGUUAGCGGCGGACGGGUGAGUAACACGUGGAUAACCUACCUAUAAGACUGGGAUAACUUCGGGAAACCGGAGCUAAUACCGGAUAAUAUAUUGAACCGCAUGGUUCAAUAGUGAAAGACGGUUUUGCUGUCACUUAUAGAUGGAUCCGCGCCGCAUUAGCUAGUUGGUAAGGUAACGGCUUACCAAGGCAACGAUGCGUAGCCGACCUGAGAGGGUGAUCGGCCACACUGGAACUGAGACACGGUCCAGACUCCUACGGGAGGCAGCAGUAGGGAAUCUUCCGCAAUGGGCGAAAGCCUGACGGAGCAACGCCGCGUGAGUGAUGAAGGUCUUCGGAUCGUAAAACUCUGUUAUUAGGGAAGAACAAAUGUGUAAGUAACUAUGCACGUCUUGACGGUACCUAAUCAGAAAGCCACGGCUAACUACGUG
This 496-nucleotide ribosomal RNA is filed under the name uncultured bacterium. RNAcentral describes it as "partial 16S ribosomal RNA". It matches the Rfam family "Bacterial small subunit ribosomal RNA", at positions 29 to 507 of the family's 1533-position model. The record is from RNAcentral.